Molecule: long non-coding RNA, 760 nt
Organism: Vidua chalybeata
Lineage: Eukaryota; Metazoa; Chordata; Aves; Passeriformes; Viduidae
Exons: 4
Source: RefSeq, a predicted model, not a curated record
CCCUCCGCAGGGCGCGGCUGAACCACGGUCGGGGCAGCGGCACCGUGGGAGAACAAAGUCAAGAAAGGGCAAAACAUGACACAAAAGAUUCUGAGGAAAAAGAGGAACAACCCCAUGAGCAGCAAGUCUGUGUAUCCAUAUUUGAGGUACAUUUCAAUCCAUCAUAUUUCUGAAGACACCUGUAAUGCUUUAUCCUAUGGAUAAAUCCUCAAAAUUGCAAAUAAGCCUACAGAGGGUGGAAUCUACAAUGGGUAACCUGGGAAGAGUGCGGAGACUGACGUAUGAAAACAUCAAGCUUUGUGUGGUGUGGUCAUUAGAUUGGAGGGAAGGGAUGCCAUCCAGAGGCACCUGGACAGGCUUGAGAAGUGGAACCUUGCAAACCUCGUGAAGUUCAACAAGGCUGAGUUCAAGGUACCCAUUAAACUGUUUGUGCUCCCUGGGCCUGGGUCGCGCUGUGCGUGUGCUGCGGGUGGCAGUAAGUCUGUCUCGGCGCUGUACGUCAGUCCAGGCAGUGCAAUCAUGCUGCUGCAGUAUUGUUACACCACCUCCAAGUGCUUCCUCAUGGGGAGAAGAGGUUGCCAUAACAGUUAUGCAUCCAGAGUGAGCAGCAGCUGGUUGUAACACCAAGGAGUAAAGGCAGGGUGGUGAGAAUGUGAAGGAUGCUCCACCUCAGACACCAGUUGAACACAAACUUCCAGAGUGGCAGCUGCAGCCAGCUAUGGGUUGGUUGUGCCCUCUAGCAUGAGUGCACAGCCUAAUA